This 511-nucleotide ribosomal RNA is filed under the name uncultured bacterium. RNAcentral's name for it is "bacterial SSU rRNA". It matches the Rfam family "Bacterial small subunit ribosomal RNA", at positions 36 to 507 of the family's 1533-position model. The record is from RNAcentral.
CUGGCGGCGUGCCUAAUACAUGCAAGUCGAACGCACUCUCGUUUAGAUUGAAGGAGCUUGCUCCUGAUUGAUAACAUUUGAGUGAGUGGCGGACGGGUGAGUAACACGUGGGUAACCUGCCCUAAAGUGGGGGAUAACAUUUGGAAACAGAUGCUAAUACCGCAUAAAACCUAACACCGCAUGGUGUAUGGUUGAAAGAUGGUUUCGGCUAUCACUUUAGGAUGGACCCGCGGUGCAUUAGUUAGUUGGUGAGGUAAAGGCUCACCAAGACCGUGAUGCAUAGCCGACCUGAGAGGGUAAUCGGCCACACUGGGACUGAGACACGGCCCAGACUCCUACGGGAGGCAGCAGUAGGGAAUCUUCCACAAUGGACGAAAGUCUGAUGGAGCAACGCCGCGUGAGUGAAGAAGGUUUUCGGAUCGUAAAACUCUGUUGUUGGAGAAGAAUGUAUCUGAUAGUAACUGAUCAGGUAGUGACGGUAUCCAACCAGAAAGCCACGGCUAACUACGUG